Transfer RNA from Colletotrichum chlorophyti, 74 nucleotides. It matches the Rfam family "tRNA". Rfam says of the family: Transfer RNA (tRNA) molecules are approximately 80 nucleotides in length. Their secondary structure includes four short double-helical elements and three loops (D, anti-codon, and T loops). The record is from Rfam. NCBI's taxonomy places the organism in Eukaryota, Fungi, Ascomycota, Sordariomycetes, Glomerellales, Glomerellaceae.
GGUUCGAUGGUGUAGUUGGUUAUCACGUCAGUCUAACACACUGAAGGUCUCCGGUUCAAGUCCGGGUCGAAUCA